Molecule: long non-coding RNA, 1621 nt
Filed under: Panax ginseng (ginseng)
Lineage: Eukaryota; Viridiplantae; Streptophyta; Magnoliopsida; Apiales; Araliaceae
Description: long non-coding RNA (PGIN_LNC000798)
Source: RNAcentral
UACUCUUUAGUAAAGAUGUUGUCGUUUGGUUUUGAUGUCGUGUAUUCUUUGGCGUUUGGGAGAAAAAUAAUGUUAGGUAAUUAGAUAAAAAUUGUCCACUUUAGCUAGAUAAAACAUUCAUGGGUUGUAGAGUACAAUUCAUUAAUGUUUUGUCUAGUUACGUAGCACUACUCUUGAGAGAAACAUUCUCCAAGCUCGCAACGAUACUAAUUCCGUUAUUUUGGUUGGGAAUGGAGGGGAUGAGUAGCCAUUGCAAAGAAAUUAAGGUGACUCUUCAUUUGUAAUUUUAAUCUUACACAACCUUGUGUGUUUUUGUAAUUUUAAGAUAUUUCAUUAAUACAAUUUUGUCAUGUCACCAUUUUAUUUAUGAAAAUUAUAUUAUAUUGAAUGCAAGACAUAAAAGCUUAUCUGUUUAAGAAACAUGCUCCCUUCUCUCUCUCUCUCUCUCUCUCUCUAUAUAUAUAUAUAUAUAUAUAUAUAUAUAUAUAUAGACACGGAUCGUAAUUGAUAUGAUUAUAUUCUUGAAGAAAAAUCUGCUGAAAAACAGCAAUAUCUAUCACCUUCUAUCUUAUGGAUAAACAUGAAACGAUUACAAAAAGUGCAACUUAGUUCCAAAGGCCAAUUAUCAUGUGUGAUAUUAAAACGUCCCUUCAUUUCAAAAAUUAUGUGUUAAAGUAUUGAAUAUAUAACACUAGUCUUAUCUUUAACAGGUAGGUAAUAUACGUAAUUAUGCCAUUAAGCCAGGGUUGCCUAACUUUAUUAUAACAAGAAACUCACUUAAAAUAUUCCAACUUCAUUUCAUUCCAUAUAUUGAACCCUCAGCCAGAUUCCAGAAAUAUGCCUGCCUGCUUCAAUAACUUUGGACCAGUUGUCCAUAUACUAAUGCUCCUUUAAUUUGCUUGUGCGCACUAGAAUUAAUAUAGCAAAAACAAUUUCCACAUUUUGUAAUUAUGUUAAGCAUUACAACAUUAUGUGAUGUAAAUUGAUUACAUAUCAUAGUCAGGUUCCUAUCGGAAGGACCAUCAUCAGAGCUUUUGGGCAAAGCUAGGAGUAACAUUGUGAGGUCAAUUGAUCGCACUGAUUUUUUUUUAUAUAUAUAAUGUAAUAGAUUUUUUUGUGCCUGUAAUUUAGUAAUUUGAUCCUAUUAAAUUUAUAUAUAUAUGAGGUAAUAUAUUUUUUAUGAGUGUAAUUUAGUAAUUUAAUCAUACUUACCUUUUUUCCUGACUUUGCCACUGGUUUCAGGUACAAUGUAGUUAAAAAUUUAAAUGUAGAGCUUACUUGUAUCCAAGCAACAAGAGUUGAGUUUGAACGAUAAACAAGGACUCGGAAUGAAAUGGAUUGGGCAAACUUGCACAAACUAAUUAUCAUCUUCUUCUCCCCUUCAAAAUUUUCAUUACUCAUCAAGCCUUAUGAGGUCAGAAGAUUAAUGGAGCCUAUAAAUGCAAUGCAGCAUAAGCAAAUCUAUUGCCAGUCAAUAUGUAUAUAGUUUUUUUCUUAUAAAUAAAUUGUGAUCAUCAGUACUGAACUUUACGAUUUAACAAAUUGAGAAAGAACACAAUUAAAUAAUACGUUUUGUAAUAGAAAAAUUGAUACAUUUUAUAUAAGUGGCUGUAGUUUAGCG